AACGAACGCUGGCGGCGCGCCUAACACAUGCAAGUCGAACGAGAAUCCGGGGCAACCCGGUAGUAAAGUGGCAAACGGGUGAGGAAUACAUGGGUAACCUACCCUUGAGAAGGGAAUAACCCGCCGAAAGGUGAGCUAAUACCCUAUACGCUUCUCUUUUUAUUGAAAGUGAAGGAAAGCUAAGCCGUGGGCUUGGCGCUCAAGGAGGGGCUCAUGUCCUAUCAGCUUGUUGGUAGGGUAACGGCCUACCAAGGCAACGACGGGUAGCUGGUCUGAGAGGAUGAUCAGCCACACUGGCACUGAGAUACGGGCCAGACUCCUACGGGAGGCAGCAGUGAGGAAUAUUGCGCAAUGGGCGAAAGCCUGACGCAGCGACGCCGCGUGGGGGAUGAAGGUUCUCGGAUUGUAAACCCCUUUUGUGAGGAAAGAGAAAGUGGGUAACCACUUAGACGGUACCUCAAGAAAAAGCCACGGCUAACUUCGUG
This 485-nucleotide ribosomal RNA is filed under the name uncultured bacterium. RNAcentral's name for it is "bacterial SSU rRNA". It matches the Rfam family "Bacterial small subunit ribosomal RNA", at positions 29 to 507 of the family's 1533-position model. The record is from RNAcentral.